This 207-nucleotide long non-coding RNA is filed under the name Mytilus galloprovincialis (Mediterranean mussel). The record is from RNAcentral. Lineage: Eukaryota; Metazoa; Mollusca; Bivalvia; Mytilida; Mytilidae.
GAUUAGCUUACCUGUAUUUGUCAAAACUUUUAGGAAUUUUUGGUCCUCAAUGCUCCUUUAUUUUGGCCCUUUUUAACUAUUUUUUCGAGUGUCACUGAUGAGUCUUUUGUAGACGAAACGCGUGUCUGCCGCAAAUACAAAUCCUGCUAUCUAUAUACGUUUAUUUAACGAACAAAUAUGACAGACAUAAACCAACGACAAUCACUG